This 786-nucleotide non-coding RNA is filed under the name Pongo abelii (Sumatran orangutan). The record is from RNAcentral. Lineage: Eukaryota; Metazoa; Chordata; Mammalia; Primates; Hominidae.
AAUGCCAUGAGCCAUGUCUUGUGAUGGGCACCCCAUGACCACGUGUGAAAAUGCUGACUCACCUCCUAUGCUGCUGACAUUCACCAGCCUCCCUUUGGAUUUUCUAAGAAGAGGCAAAAAUGUCUUUGUGACCUCCACAGUUCCAAAGAAGUUCACGGCCAUGCAUUGUUUGUAGUCAGUCAUAGGAAGAAGCUCCCCAUCAGUUGGAAAGCCAAGCACCCCAGCAUUGUUGAUCACAGCCCACAGUCCUGGAGACAGAAAACCAUAAUGAGUGAGUGUCUGGAAGAGGAAGUGAAUAACACAACCUGCAAUACCUGGAAGACCAUGCAAGAGGUGUUACAUGUGAGCCAGGUCUCCUGGGGGAUUAGAGUCUGCCACUGGACAAAGACGUUUCCACUCGCAAUAUUAGUAAAUGUAGAGUUUGCCUCUACUGACUGUCAGUUGAGCAUCUUGGUUAAGACUCAUACUGCCUGAUUCUCCUCUUCCACUCACGAGCCUUGGGAAAGUCACAUAUAACCAUGUCGAACCUCCACUUCCUCACAUGGAACCAGGAGAACCAAAUGACAACUCGGAGGAAAUGAUCAGGACUGAGAAGGAGAGGAGAAAAUCCAAGAGGCCAGACCCUCACGUGGACCCUGUCCUCUCUUCCUUACAACCUCCCAGCCUAUAAACACCUGUGCUAAGCCCAGCUGCCCAGUCCAGGCCCCAUCUGUGGGUGAGGCCUGAGACUUUUCGACCUUGCCUUGGCUGAGCAAUGUUAUUACCACAUGCCUAAGACCCGUGCUC